UUUGGAUGCGAUUUUUUAAUUUGACUCUGAACCAAUGACCGUGCACACCGCUAUUAAUUGCAAUGAAAUAAGAGCAACUAAUUCCCUUGGUAAAGAUAUCUAUCUGUACACUGAUUUGUACAAGAAAUGUUGGAGAGCCUGUCCAUCCAAUUGCAAUCCCCUUCUUCUGUUCCUGUACAACUUCCCUACUUCUGUAAAUCAACUAACUGCAUCCAAACCAUACAUACACGAUCCCGCUGAAGACGAGGAGCUUCCUCUUGCUCCUUAACAAUCAGCUCCCCAUUUCCACCACUGUCACCUCUCACCAGGCAUUCAUUCAUUCGUUUCCCUGUACAAAAAGUGCCUACCUAAUAAUUACAAAUUCACAAUCUAUGUAGCAGUGAAGCUACGAAAGAUGGAAUGAGCCUUGUCCUUCUGUUAUGGCAUACAAAAGCUUCUCUUUCAUCUUGUCCUUUGAAGAGUAAGGUGGCAACUUAAGGUAAUUGGCGCAUGUCAUUACACUGGGUAGAUCUGCAUCUGCGCAGUUGCUACAAUGCUUCCGGACAAUUGUCAAUUUUGGAUUCAAAGAUGCCAAACCUCCUGGAGGAAGCCGAGGUGCCCCAGUUACAAACUGCAGAAAUGCUCGCCGCUGUUCUUGA
RNAcentral lists this unclassified non-coding RNA (638 nucleotides) under Hevea brasiliensis (rubber tree). Lineage: Eukaryota; Viridiplantae; Streptophyta; Magnoliopsida; Malpighiales; Euphorbiaceae. The record is from RNAcentral.